CAGUCGCCACGGUAAUACGUAGGGUGCGAGCGUUAAUCGGAAUUACUGGGCGUAAAGCGUGCGCAGGCGGUUGUGUAAGACAGGUGUGAAAUCCCCGGGCUUAACCUGGGAACUGCGCUUGUGACUGCACAGCUAGAGUAUGGCAGAGGGGGAUGGAAUUCCACGUGUAGCAGUGAAAUGCGUAGAGAUGUGGAGGAACACCGAUGGCGAAGGCAGCCCCCUGGGCCAAUACUGACGCUCAUGCACGAAAGCGUGUGGAGCAAACAGGAUUAGAUACCCCCGUAGUCCCUGUCUCUUAUAC
RNAcentral lists this ribosomal RNA (301 nucleotides) under uncultured bacterium. Its description in RNAcentral is "partial 16S ribosomal RNA". It matches the Rfam family "Bacterial small subunit ribosomal RNA", at positions 509 to 807 of the family's 1533-position model. The record is from RNAcentral.